CUGGGCGUAAGGGUGCGUAGGUGGAUAUUUAAGUCAGAUGUGAAACCCCUGGGCUCAACUCAGGGACUGCAUUUGAAACUGGAUAUCUGGAGUGCAGGAGAGGUAAGUGGAAUUCCUAGUGUAGCGGUGAAAUGCGUAGAGAUUAGGAAGAACACCAGUGGCGAAGGCGACUUACUGGACUGUAACUGACACUGAGGCACGAAAGCGUGGGUAGCAAACAGGAUUAGAUACCCUGGUAGUCCACGCCGUAAACGAUGAGUACUAGGUGUAGGGGGUAUCGACUCCCUCUGUGCCGCAGUUAACACAAUAAGUACUCCGCCUGGGAAGUACGAUCGCAAGAUUAAAACUCAAAGGAAUUGACGGGGGCCCGCACAAGCAGCGGAGCAUGUGGUUUAAUUCGAAGCAACGCGAAGAACCUUACCUGGACUUGACAUCCCCUGCAUAGCCAAGAGAUUGGUGAAGCCCUUCGGGGCAGGGAGACAGGUGGUGCAUGGUUGUCGUCAGCUCGUGUCGUGAGAUGUUAGGUUAAGUCCUGCAACGAGCGCAACCCUUAUCAUUAGUUGCUACCAUUAAGUUGAGCACUCUAGUGAGACUGCCCGGGUUAACCGGGAGGAAGGUGGGGAUGACGUC
This 630-nucleotide ribosomal RNA is filed under the name uncultured bacterium. RNAcentral's name for it is "bacterial SSU rRNA". It matches the Rfam family "Bacterial small subunit ribosomal RNA", at positions 554 to 1186 of the family's 1533-position model. The record is from RNAcentral.